UGUUAGUGUGUUUGCCUUGUAUUAUUUUAUUGUUUUGUUUGUUAAGCUUUAUAAGUUAUAUAAGUUGAAAAUAUUGUAAUUUUACUUUGAUUAUGAAAAAUGAUCCAGAGCAACGAACGUGUCUUGCUACCAUAUCCAUGCCCUCUCUCUAAGACUACGUUCGUUGAUCUAAAACGUAAAGAAAAGAUAGGUAAGAGGCGCAGGCAGAGCGUCGAGCGGAGCCGGAGAACAUGAAUUUCAUACCAAGAGCCUUGGCGAAAAAGCCUGCAAAGAGAAAUGUGCCAAUAGUGAAGAAAAAGGGGGCAAACUUAACUCAGAAUGCAUCUACCUCAUGUCAAGCAGCAGCCCGGGUCCCAGCUGCCAAUUUUCCAAGUGUAGAAAUCAGAGAACCUCCAGGAAGAGAUGAUGAUAAGGGCACCAGUGGGAUAUCAUUGACCAGUGACCAACAGGAUGAUGGUAUUUCAGAAGGCAGCAAGUGCAUGAAUCAAGCACUAACUGUUGAUCUCCUUCCUAGUGUUGAUGACUCAAAAAACCCUGAACCAGUCCAGGCUUGUGGAUCGCCGUCUUCUAAAGGUGUCACAUUAAGGAAUGAAAGUGAUGAAAUUUUCACUGAGAAUUCAGAGAGGACACCAAAUGAGUCACACAAAGACAAACUUCAAAGGCUUCAGGAGUUGAGUGAUCGAAUAUCAAGUCGAGCCACUGUCAUGGAAGGACACCAAGACACGAUGUUUGGAGAGGCCUUACAUGUACCUCAUGCCAAACUAUCGUCUGACCGAGCUGAGUAUGAGGAAACAUUGUUGAUCCAGGAUGUACAACAUGGUGUCCAAGAGGAAGAGAACCCUGAAAGCGAUGAGGAGCCUCCACCCAUUGUAUCCUUCAGCAAGAACCAGCGUUGGCCAGACGAGGAUGAGCCAGUCUGUGUGGUGUGUGGGAAGUAUGGGGAGUAUAUAUGCGAUCAGACUGAAGCAGAUGUAUGCAGUCUAGAGUGUAAGGCGAAGAACUUGAUCAGGAGAGGAAUUCAACCCACUAUUCCCCAGACUAAGAAGCCAGCAGAUAAUAAUACCUGCAUAUCUGUCCAGGAUACUGCUGCUGCUGCUGAUGAUGUGAAUGAUUCACCUGAGGAGGAUGAUAAACCAUUCAUUUACAGGGAACAUCCAGACAUCUCCGACCUCACAGCGGAAAGGGUGCAAGACAUCCGCAAUGAGGUUCAGAUUUUUGUUGAAGGCAUAAAUAUACAUAGGCCCAUCCUGGAGUUUGAGCAGCUUCGUCUUCCAGCUAAGAUCCAGAGUAAUCUCCAGGUAUCAGGAUAUGUGACCCCUACACCAAUCCAGAUGCAAGCUAUCCCAUCAGCCCUUGCACUAAGAGACCUUAUGAUAUGUGCCCAGACCAGCUCGGGAAAAACCCUCUCAUUCCUCGUGCCUUCAGUGAUUACCAUUUAUAACCAAGUACUUACAAGGUUUGGAAGCAAAGAUCCUUAUGUGCUUAUCCUGACUCCUACAAGAGAACUUGCCAUGCAGAUAGAAGAACAGGCAAAACAACUUAUGAAAGGAUUGUCAAGCAUGAAGACAGCACUCUUAGUUGGAGGGCUCCCUCUACCACCACAGUUGCACAGGUUACAACAAGGUAUUCAGUUUAUUGUAGGUACUCCAGGUAGGAUCAUGGACAUUAUCAACCAAGAAGGUGUUAAUCUGAGUGAUAUCAAGUUGGUUGUGAUUGAUGAAGUAGACACCAUGCUACAACUUGGAUUCCAGCAGCAGGUCUAUGACAUCAUGACCCACUUACCAGACAACCACCAAACCAUCUUUACCUCGGCAACCAUUCCAGCAUCCAUAGAGAAAAUGGCCUCUUCUCUUCUGAACAACCCCGUCUUUAUCUCUGUGGGAACGCCCAGCACUCCCUGUACCUCUGUGAAACAGGUCAUCUUAUGGGUGGAGGAACCAUCAAAGAAGAAGAAACUCUUUGCAAUUCUUCAAGAUCCCAAACAUUUCAGGCCACCAGCUUUAGUCUUUGUCAAUUCCAAACCGGGAGCAGAUCUUCUUGCUCAAGCAGUUGGAAAGAGCUGUGGUAUAUCGGUAGCAUCACUACAUGGAGACAAGCCUCAGAUUCAGCGUAAUGAGAUCCUGCAGAAGUUUAAAGAUGGUGCACAUGAUGUCAUGAUCAGUACAGCUGUGCUAGGGCGUGGUAUUGACCUGCCAGGGGUCAAGAUGGUUGUGAACUUUGACAUGCCAGGGACAGUGGAGGAAUAUAUACAUCAGAUUGGGAGAACAGGGCGCUUAGGAACAUCUGGUACAGCCAUGACAUUUAUCAACAACAACAGCAAAAAGAGUCUUUCUAUUUGGCUGGUGGUUGCCAGUGGGGCGUGAUGAAACAAGCUGAAGAGGCGAUGUAAAAUACAAGCCAAAUGAUGUUGAUACAAGCCACCAUACCUGUAUGAUAUUUCCGAAGGCUUUAAGCCAGCUCUUCCUACAGUUAACCAGCCUGCUGAAACCUCUGGGUGUCCUGUUACCUCCCGAGCUGAUCAACUCACCCCAUCUUAGCU
Molecule: unclassified non-coding RNA, 2539 nt
Filed under: Lytechinus variegatus (green sea urchin)
Lineage: Eukaryota; Metazoa; Echinodermata; Echinoidea; Temnopleuroida; Toxopneustidae
Description: probable ATP-dependent RNA helicase DDX59, transcript variant X1
Source: RNAcentral